AUCCCUUUUUAAAAAUUUUUGGGAUGACAAAAGGUGUUUGGCGUGGACUCUUGGCACCCUCCCUUGGAUGAAAACCCUAAUUCCUUGCCUAUAAAAAGGGGUCCCCUAUUCUUGGCAUAAAACAUAAAUUUCCUUGCUGGUUUUUAUUUUUUCAGAGCUUUUCUCCUCCUCCUCUCUUCUUGCUCUAGAUCUUUCAUCCUUUGGAGUGUCUAAGAUGCUUGAAGAAAAAGGAAGAUAUCAGUCAUCGAAGUUGUUUGCAGGCUAGCACCUCCAAGCCCC
This 279-nucleotide long non-coding RNA is filed under the name Elaeis guineensis (African oil palm). RNAcentral's name for it is "long non-coding RNA (EGUI_LNC077990)". Lineage: Eukaryota; Viridiplantae; Streptophyta; Magnoliopsida; Arecales; Arecaceae. The record is from RNAcentral.